Molecule: ribosomal RNA, 194 nt
Filed under: uncultured bacterium
Lineage: Bacteria
Description: partial 16S ribosomal RNA
Rfam family: Bacterial small subunit ribosomal RNA
Source: RNAcentral
CCUACGGGAGGCAGCAGUGGGGAAUAUUGGACAAUGGGCGCAAGCCUGAUCCAGCCAUACCGCGUGAGUGAAGAAGGCCUUCGGGUUGUAAAGCCCUUUUGUUGGGAAAGAAAAGCGAUCGGUUAAUACCCGGUUGUUCUGACGGUACCCAAAGAAUAAGCACCGGCUAACUUCGUGCCAGCAGCCGCGGUAAU